RNAcentral lists this ribosomal RNA (327 nucleotides) under uncultured eukaryote. Its description in RNAcentral is "partial 18S ribosomal RNA". It matches the Rfam family "Eukaryotic small subunit ribosomal RNA", at positions 1470 to 1796 of the family's 1831-position model. The record is from RNAcentral.
CCCUUAGAUGUUCUGGGCCGCACACGCGCUACACUGAAGGAGGCAGCGUGUACUCCUGGAUCGAAAGAUUUGGGUAACCCGCGAAUCUCCUUCGUGCUAGGGAUUGAGGUUUGCAAUUAUCCUCCAUGAACGAGGAAUUCCCAGUAAGUGCAAGUCAUAAGCUUGCGCUGACUACGUCCCUGCCCUUUGUACACACCGCCCGUCGCUACUACCGAUUGAAUGAUUUAGUGAGGACUUCGGACUGGGACCGAUGCGGCUUUCGGGCUGCGUCGGUAUUCUGGAAAGAUGUCCAAACUGUAUCAUUUAGAGGAAGUAAAAGUCGUANCA